UGUCUCAUCUUCACUUUUUUCUCACACACACCCACAUACCAUCCUCAGUGGUGGCAAGCAGUGGCCCAUCCAGCCUGUUGCGUUCUCUCCUCUCAGCGGAGAUCAAUCACAUGAUUUGAUAGUUUUUAUACUAGAGGGGAGGCAGGAAUCUUCAUAGCGGCGGAUACGGGCAGCUCCAAAACUUCUCAUCCACUAGAAGAGGAAAAGCUCUCACAGCGCCCUUUGCUCUGCAGUGCUUUCUCCAGAUAAGGACUUCUAAACACACUCCCAUGGCAGAUGCAGGGAAUCUUAAACAUGCAUAACCAGACUUGUAAGCUCCUUGGAGAGAGACAUAUAACUCAGAGUGUGGGUGCAAGUGUGUGUGUUAAAAGAAGAACAGGAAGAGAUAGUCCUGCUAAGCCAUAACAGUCACGUUGCCACCGCAGCGCAGCGUUAGCACCGUGGCUGAUGCCUGAGUCUGUGCCAGCAAACAUCCAUCAAAGAGCCCUGUAUACAGGCCAGGCCCCAGCUACAGCCAACCUCAAGGAUUUUACCAGUGUUUUAACAGCCUGGCCACCUCUCCUCACAGCUAUUAUCACUGGAUUCCUGUGGGCUAGUUUCAAGAACUGUUUUCCUUCAGUUAGUUUGCUUUUGUGUUGUGAACAAUGAACUUGGUAUUUGGGUCAAACAACAACCAUACAGUUGUUUCGUCAAUAUACAGUAGCGCAUUCUCUAAUAUGUAGGUGUGUGGGUGUUUGGGAGUGUAUGUUAAGCUUUGUGUAAAGGAGGUUAAUGACAUGGAGACAUAACUCACCACACUGAUAGACCGUAGCUCCCAGCUCUUCCGUGGUUAAAAUCACACGGCACCUAUUUUUGGCGCCCGUCUGAGUGACAGCAUGACCCCUAAACCCUGACCUUUACACAGCGUGACCUCCACAGCCCAAUAAUGGAGACAGGAAGGUAUUAGGGUUGGGGAAGAGAGCGGAGGGGUUGAAUGGGUGCACGGGGUCAAGCCCAAAAUGAUGCACUCGGAACGGACGGCGGAGAAGAAGGCCGCUGUGUUCCCCGUCACACAAUAAGGCCUCAGUUAUUGGUCUAUAAUUUGGCCAAUUGAUUACCCCAAUAAUUGUUACCAUAAUGAGCUGGUGUGGAUAGCUGGCUGUUAGUCGGCUUGUUUGCAUUUUUGUACCGGAAUGACUCCAUGUGAAACAUUGCAGAAGUGUGCAUGUUGCAGCAGCAUGUUUAUAAAGGCACCUGUCACUAAUACGCCAUUGCAUGAUAAAAUGAAUCCUCCUGCACACCC
Molecule: long non-coding RNA, 1282 nt
Organism: Thunnus maccoyii (southern bluefin tuna)
Lineage: Eukaryota; Metazoa; Chordata; Actinopteri; Scombriformes; Scombridae
Exons: 4
Source: RefSeq, a predicted model, not a curated record